GACGAACGCUGGCGGCGUGCUUAACACAUGCAAGUCGAACGGAAAGGCCCUGCUCUUGUGGUGUGCUCGUGUGGCGAACGGGUGUGAAACACGAGUGUAACCUGCCCUUGACUUUGGGAUAUCUUGAGGAAAGUGGGGCUAAUACGGGAUAGGAGCUCGUGCUGCGUGGUGGGGGUUGGAGAGUUUCGGCGGUUGGGUAUGGACUCGGGGUUUCUGCGCUUGUUGGGGGGGUAGUGGCUUCCAAAGGUUUUGACGGGUCGCCGGCCUGAGAGGGGGACGGGCCACAUGGGGACUGGGAUACGGCCCAGACUCCAACGGGAGGCAGCGGGGGGAAAUAUUGCACAAUGGUGGGAAGCCUGUGGCAGCAACGCCGGGGGCGGGAUACCGGCCUUCGGGUGGUAAACCGCUUUCGCCUGUAACGAGGCGUGAGUGACGGUAAUGGGUAAAGAAGCACCGGCUAACUACGUG
This 468-nucleotide ribosomal RNA is filed under the name uncultured bacterium. RNAcentral's name for it is "partial 16S ribosomal RNA". It matches the Rfam family "Bacterial small subunit ribosomal RNA", at positions 28 to 507 of the family's 1533-position model. The record is from RNAcentral.